AGGGUUCUUUUCCCAAGCAAGAUCCGUCCCUGAGUCGCCACAGCUUGUCAUCCUACACAAAGAAAUCCUUGCCUAUUCCUUUUUCCCUUCAUUCUUCAAUGGCAGUAUCCAAUUUUUAUCUGGUCAUUUGAUGGCUUCGUUUAUAUUCUAAUUUUCCUUUGCAGUUUCUUUUUCUGUACAAAGCUAGAAAACCCUAAUUGAAAAUGGUCACUGCAACUGAUUCUUCAUCUGAUCAUCGCUCGCCGACUAGUGCUGGGGAUACCAAUAGCCCUAAAUUCCCGCGAAAAAACCUGCCAUCUCCGUGGGCUCAAGUUGUACGGGGUGGGGAGUGCGAAUCUCAUCCAUCGCCGCCUUCAUCAUCUUCCUCUUCGUCAUCACUCACAGCCUCCGUGCCCGACCAACCGCCAUUCUCUGAUUUUCCUCCGAAGGAAGCACCUUUAACGCAGCUGCCGGAUAAUUCUAAUGUUGCUGCGGUAGAUAACUCCGACGCUUCCGACGCCAAUGCGGGUCAUUCUAAGAGGCCCGCUUGGAGCAAACCUUCGAACGGCGUUGUCGAGGCUGGUCCAGUAAUGGGUGCUGUUACUUGGCCCGCAUUAUCUAAAUCCACGAAGGUUUCGUCCAAAAUGUCAGCUGACUCCUCCUCUAAGACUGCCUUUGACGGAUCACUUUCCCCCUCUCAGGGCUCUGGCACUUUACAAUCCCCUCAAAAGCAACCUACUAAUAAUGCAAAGCCUAACUCUGCAACAAACUAUGCUGUGCAUCAUAGACAAAGGUCAAUGAAGCGUGGAGGUAGCAACAGCCCUGGGGUUGGUCAUGCUCAGAGCAGCUUUUCUAAUCCUCCCCCACCUCCCCCACCACCGCCCUUUCCUGUAUUUCCUAUACCGGCAAAUACCUAUGGUAAUGUGGUGCCAGGGGUUUCAGAUCAUUCUCCAAGGGAAAUCCCUUACAGGAACAAUAGCUGGGAUACAAGACCACCAGUUGGGGGUUUUGUGCCUGCUGUGAAUGAUCAUUGGAAUCCCCCCCGCAGAGGCAAUUUCGGGCCCCAUCAACGUGGGGAUGGAUCCUAUCAUAAUAACCACGGGGGUAGGCGUGACCAUGAUCGUGGAAAUCAUGCAAACUCUAGAGAUGCUCAAGUACACCAACAGAGGAUGUCUCCUAGGGGAUUAGUGAGGCACCCCCCUCCUAAUACUCCUGCAUUUGUUGCCCCUCCGCCCAUGGGACCCUUUGCAAACCCCAUGGGUUUUCCAGAAUUUUAUUAUUUCCCAACUCUACCACUAGAGCCGUUCAGGGGCAUGCCAUUCAUUACUCAUGGUCCUCCUCCUGCCAUGUUUCUCCCUGUUGCAGAACCUCCUCUGACAAAUAUGCUAAUGAACCAAAUUGAUUAUUACUUUAGUGAUGCUAAUCUAGUGAAAGAUGAUUUUUUAAGAUCCAACAUGGAUGAACAGGGUUGGGUUCCCAUUGCUUUGAUAGCAAACUUCCGUCGGGCAAUUGGUUCUUUGUUUAACAGAGAUAACAGGGAAAGAUACACAGUGUGAUUGAAGAGGGAUGAAAAUUCUCUGGCAGUUCUCUUAAUGUAGAUGCCAAACCUAACUAUCAAUCCUGACUAAGAUUUCUUUGUUUCAGGAAGCAGCUGUGUGCUAAAAUAUUAGGAUAUUAUUUAUUUGUGUCCUUAAUCUUGAACGCACCCCCUCCCAGUGGCGGGAAAAAAGUCCUGGGGCAAAAUUUCACUAGAAGAAAUCAAAUCAUAUCAUAUCAAAACACCUCUAAAGAACAGCUUAUAUCCAGUCCAUUAUUGUGAUAAAAGUAUCUUUCAGGAGUCCGUUUGUGUAUUGAUCUCACUGUAAAAUCUUAGUAGUCUUAAUUCCUUCUUGCACAGUUUGUUUUUUUCUUCACUUGGAUCUGUUUUGUAGGUUAAAAGUUUGACAAACAACAUUCAGGUGAUACUGGAUUCAUUGAGAAAUUCUGCGGUUGUGGAAGUACAGGGUGACAAGAUGCGGAGGCGUAAUGAAUGGACAAAGUGGCUGCCCUCAUCUCAGCUUCGAGCUGAUUCUGGUUCAUCAUCUCCUGUUGGAUCAAGCUGCAAUAACGUAGCAACUGAUUUUCAAAAGAUUGCUCUGGGUGAAGCUGCUACAGAUAGAGGUAAUUCAGACCCUACGUCAGAAGCUCUAGAAGAAAGAUCUCCAACAGAUUCUUCCUGUCAUCCUCUGCUUCCAACCGAUGAUACUUCAGGGAACACCAAUUAAGAC
This is an RNA transcript of Neltuma alba, 2246 nucleotides long. It is a transcript of the gene named la-related protein 1C, with no coding region annotated. NCBI's taxonomy places the organism in Eukaryota, Viridiplantae, Streptophyta, Magnoliopsida, Fabales, Fabaceae. The record is from RefSeq and is a predicted model, not a curated record. The transcript has 6 exons.